Long non-coding RNA from Patiria miniata (bat star), 865 nucleotides. RefSeq lists it as uncharacterized. The record is from RefSeq and is a predicted model, not a curated record. The transcript is spliced from 3 exons. NCBI's taxonomy places the organism in Eukaryota, Metazoa, Echinodermata, Asteroidea, Valvatida, Asterinidae.
GGAAACCUGCCUACAAACAACACUUAAGGGUUUAAGAAAGGCCAGAUAGUGGUUGGAGCAUAGGGGUAAAUUUCCAAAUGUUGCAGGUUAAACACCCACCCAUGCACAAUUUUAUGAGAAAACACAGUAGUGGCCCAUGUUAAAAAAAAAUUAAAAAUUAUAAACGCUCCUCGGGACACGAAACGGGGACAUCCCAACUGGAAUCCUGAGCUCGUACUAGUACUACCGACUAACUGGCUCUCGACAAAAUUGUGUUCGGACGUAUUAUACCUUUAAGGUAAACACGUCCCCCCCCAAGUUACCCAUAAACCCUCAGUACUAUAGCAGAUGAGCAGAAACGACAACACGUGAUUUGUACGCCAUUUCAAUUCUUCGCGGGCGUGGAAGCUGGAAAAAUGUAGCUGUCGGCAGGACCGCACAAGUCCAAUGGUUUCCCAGAUGGUCCAUCAGAUGAAGUAAGGUCUCUUCAACCUGCAUGAGACUCUCAGCAGAAGUUAAGAAAGCUGUCAUCAGAACCAGUGUUGCAGACUUCAAGACAGCUCUUAAGCAGAUGAAAGGAGACAAGAUUUGCAUCUUAGUUGAUAAGCAAGAUUGAAGCAAGCGCUGGCCGGCCAGUCAUGCAGCCAGCCAGCCAGCCAUCAGGGAGCCGCAGAACCAGCCAGCCAGCCAGUCUGCCAGCCUGCCAGCCAGAAACAAGUCAGCUAGAUGUGUUCACUAAGGUAGGACUAACCCUUUGUUUCAGCCAUUAGCGCUCAAAUUGAGCCAGUGAACACCCAAGACCCAGGAUCUCAAGACCCAAGUACAGUUUGCAAGUGGAGUCGUUCGAAGGAUUUCUCAGAGUGAGCCAGAGUUUUCUUGUUUCCUU